GCCCGGCUGGCACAAUUGGUUAGCGCGUGGGCCUUUUACGAAGAUCUUCUUCAACAACAGCCCAAGGUAAACUCCUUCGUCUUCAGUUCUUCUCCGAACAACGCAACUAAUUCUAUUAACAGGUUGAGAGUUCGAGCCUCUCGUCGGGCG
Non-coding RNA from Cadophora sp. M221, 150 nucleotides. NCBI's taxonomy places the organism in Eukaryota, Fungi, Ascomycota, Leotiomycetes, Helotiales, Ploettnerulaceae. The record is from the annotation of a GenBank genome assembly.